CGGUGUGCAGGCUGGGGAAGGCGUCCACGCCGAUCGCGGCGGCGCGGAAGGCGGGGCCGGUCACGUCGGCGCCGGUCGCCGCGGCGAGCGCCGGCCA
RNAcentral lists this transfer RNA (97 nucleotides) under Pilimelia anulata. RNAcentral's name for it is "tRNA-Ala". Lineage: Bacteria; Bacillati; Actinomycetota; Actinomycetes; Micromonosporales; Micromonosporaceae. The record is from RNAcentral.